GUCAGGACUGUGGGGUCUCUAGCAGGCUCAGAGUCCUGUGGCUCCAUGGAGAGAGCAGCUGCUGGCAGGGACCAGAGGAGUGAGAGGGAGCUCCUGGUUGGCUGUUAGGACUGACAUCCUGAGGCGAGGGUGAAGAAGUUCCUCCUAUGUGGCCAGGAUAGACAACUUCUCCCAGAAUUCAGUGGAAAAGAAUCAUAGAGUGGCUCAGCUUAUAGCAGCACAAAGAAUCAUGGGAUAUGACCCCAGAAGUCCCAGUGACAACAUGGGGGAGCCCAGCACCAGCAAGAACACAGUAACUGAGCAGGUAGCCAGACAGAGGGAUUCCAGUUACCGGAGACCUUAAUGUGGCAACUGCAUUUAUUGGAUAUGUGUCCUGUAUAUUGGGACAGGCAAGACUCAAGCCAGAAUUCUUACACUUUAUCAGAAGUUGGUGUACCAAGCAAACACCAGUUGGCUUCCAUGAGUAUUGGAGUCAAUGAGAUCAUUCAGAUGAGUAACUGCUCAUCUACGUGAGUAAAUGAUUCACAAAUUGGCCCUUAGGAAAUAAGUCAGGAUUGGGAAGAUGACACUGACAGCUACAAAAAGUUUUCUGGCCGAUGCAAGAGGGACAGAUAUCUGAUGUCUCUGAUCUCUGCUUCACCACAGCUCCUCUCAUCUUUGCUUCAGCGAAAUGCUGUUGGGUAUUUACUUCAGACCACC
Molecule: long non-coding RNA, 699 nt
Organism: Mauremys mutica (yellowpond turtle)
Lineage: Eukaryota; Metazoa; Chordata; Testudines; Geoemydidae
Exons: 5
Source: RefSeq, a predicted model, not a curated record